UCGCACGAGAACGUUCUGGCUUUGCCAGAACAAGUACAGUGGCGGACGGGUGCGUAUCGCGUAGAUAACCUGCCCUUAGGCGCGGGACAAUCACGGGAAACCGUGGCUAAUACCGCACGUCGUCUGGGCCCCGCAUGGGGACCAGAUGAAAGCUUGGGGUUACCCAGGCGCCUUGGGAUGGGUCUGCGUUGGAUUAGCUUGUUGGUGAGGCAACGGCUCACCAAGGCGACGAUCCAUAGCUGGUCUGAGAGGACGAUCAGCCACACUGGGACUGAGACACGGCCCAGACUCCUACGGGAGGCAGCAGUGGGGAAUCUUGCACAAUGGGGUCACCCCUGAUGCAGCCAUGCCGCGUGGAGGAAGACACCCCUAUGGGGCGUAAACUCCUUUUCUGAAUGAAGAAACCCCUGUAGGUUCAGGGCGCGACGGUAGUUCAGGAAUAAGCACCGGCUAACUCCGUACCAGCAGCCGCGGUAAUACGGAGGGUGCAAGCGUUGUCCGGAAUCACUGGGUGUAAAGGGUGUGCAGGCGGGGCAACAAGUCGGAUGUGAAACCCCAUGGCUCAACCAUGGAGGUGCAUUCGAAACUGUUGCUCUUGAGUCCCGGAGAGGCUGUCGGAAUUCGUGGUGUAGCGGUGAAAUGCGUAGAUAUCACGAGGAACACCAGAGGCGAAAGCGGGCAGCUGGACGGGUACUGACGCUCAGGCACGAAAGCGUGGGGAGCAAACAGGAUUAGAUACCC
Molecule: ribosomal RNA, 741 nt
Filed under: uncultured bacterium
Lineage: Bacteria
Description: bacterial SSU rRNA
Rfam family: Bacterial small subunit ribosomal RNA
Source: RNAcentral